Molecule: ribosomal RNA, 397 nt
Filed under: uncultured bacterium
Lineage: Bacteria
Description: bacterial SSU rRNA
Rfam family: Bacterial small subunit ribosomal RNA
Source: RNAcentral
GACGAACGCUGGCGGCGUGCCUAACACAUGCAAGUCGUACGGGCUUGAGGGGCAACUCUCAAGUCAGUGGCGAACGGGUGCGUAACACGUGAGCAACUUGCCCUAUGGUGGGGGAUAGCCGGCCCAACGGCCGGGUAAUACCGCAUAUGGCGCUGAGGUCACAUGGCCUUAGUGGGAAAGUGGCCGCAAGGUCGCGCCAAAGGUGGGGCUCGCGGCGUAUCAGCUGUUGGCGGGGUAAUGGCCCACCAAGGCUACGACGCGUAGCUGGUCUGAGAGGAUGGCCGGCCACACUGGGACUGAGACACGGCCCAGACUCCUACGGGAGGCAGCAGUGGGGAAUCUUGCGCAAUGGGCGAAAGCCUGACGCAGCGACGCCGCGUGAGGGAUGACGGCCUGG